Long non-coding RNA from Xenia sp. Carnegie-2017, 292 nucleotides. RefSeq lists it as uncharacterized. NCBI's taxonomy places the organism in Eukaryota, Metazoa, Cnidaria, Anthozoa, Malacalcyonacea, Xeniidae. The record is from RefSeq and is a predicted model, not a curated record. The transcript has 2 exons.
UGUAGCAAUCCAGUAUCAGACUCUCUUAAAUUAUUUGCUGAAAAUGAAAUGAUGCUUACCGUAUCAUGGCAAUGAUAGCGAGACGAAACUUGGCGUAAGUUAUUUCCUUUAGGAAAUUAAAAUUACCCGAAGACACUUGCCUUUGUACAUACGCAACAUAAUAUUUGUACAUAGGUAAACUGAACAAGAAUAACAAAGAAAAAACAUUCAAAAGAGAUAGGGCGAGAAAAUUAAAUAAUGGACAAACGUAGCUACUAAUGCUUCGGCAAAUUUUCAUUAAAAAGUACCUCGA